GUGCCAGCCGCCGCGGUAAUACGGAGGAUGCAAGCGUUAUCCGGAAUCAUUGGGUUUAAAGGGUCCGUAGGCGGGUAAAUAAGUCAGUGGUGAAAGUCUGUCGCUUAACGAUAGAAUUGCCAUUGAUACUGUUUAUCUAGAGUUAUUAUGAAGUGGUUAGAAUGGGUAGUGUAGCGGUGAAAUGCAUAGAUAUUACUCAGAAUACCGAUUGCGAAGGCAGAUCACUAAUAAUAUACUGACGCUGAUGGACGAAAGCGUAGGUAGCGAACAGGAUUAGAUACCCUGGUAGUCUACGCAGUAAACGAUGGUCACUAGCUGUUCGGAUCGAUUAAGAUUUGAGUGGUUAAGCGAAAGUGAUAAGUGACCCACCUGGGGAGUACGUUCGCAAGAAUGAA
RNAcentral lists this ribosomal RNA (395 nucleotides) under uncultured bacterium. RNAcentral describes it as "bacterial SSU rRNA". It matches the Rfam family "Bacterial small subunit ribosomal RNA", at positions 505 to 898 of the family's 1533-position model. The record is from RNAcentral.